Molecule: unclassified non-coding RNA, 262 nt
Filed under: uncultured fungus
Lineage: Eukaryota; Fungi
Description: sequence contains ITS1, 5.8S rRNA gene
Rfam family: 5.8S ribosomal RNA (bases 214-262)
Source: RNAcentral
UUUCCGUAGGUGAACCUGCGGAAGGAUCAUUAUCCAUCUUCAACCAGGUGCGGUCGCGGCCUCCAGGCAACUGGGUGGUUUCGCGCCGCAUUCCUGCAUCCUUUUUUUACGAGCACCUUUCGUUCUCCUUCGGCGGGGCAACCUGCCGCUGGAACUUAACAAAACCUUUUUUUUGCAUCUAGCAUUACCUGUUCUGAUACAAACAAUCGUUACAACUUUCAACAAUGGAUCUCUUGGCUCUGGCAUCGAUGAAGAACGCAGC